CUAAUUGUUGUCUUUCAUUAAGAUGAUGUUAGGAGAUAUAUCUAUCAAUUCUGCAUAUAAUUCUUUAAAUUGUUCUGGUAGGAUUUCUAGAGAAGGAUCAUAUAACUUCCACCACUUGUAGAAUAGUACUAACCAAAUACCUAACUCGUCAUGAUGACGCCUAUUAUGGUACUAGGCAAGCCGACAUUUCCAAAAUACAUUGAUAAUUUAUAAGAAGAUAGUUCAAAACCUUUUCAUAAUAGAGAUUUCAUAAGAAGAGUUAAACUAAUAAUAUAAUGCGGAAAAGAUAGCCCGACAUCAGAGUGUCACUAAGUCAUGAGCAUCUACAAUCGCUGUAGAAUCAAAGAUUACAAUAAUCCGUCAAAUGCCAUAAAAACAGAAAGAAAGACAACAAUGGAAGGAGAGCCAAGGUCUGCGGACGCUGGUAGCUACCUCGUAGAUCUCCGAGCAGUCAACCACGCACGAGCUCAACGAAACUUGUGACCGGUCUCACCUGGAUCUGCACACAAGGUGCAAGGAUUAACAUGAGUACUUCCAACUCAGUAAGUAACAUAAAUAAAUAAGGAACUGAGAAGUAGUAACGAGCUAUGUAAAUACAGUUAUCUCAAUAUCUUUCAAAUAAGAACAAUCAUGCUUUCCAAUUCAUUAGUUUAAGUCACAUCAGUUCGUGCUCAAGUAAACCCGAUAUUUAUACAACAAGGACAAGUAACAACUAAGUGCAACAAUUAACUGAAAGUAAGUACAGCCUCUCAAGGCAACAUUCACUCAACUCAUCUCAACAACUCAAUCACUCGGCUCUCAACCCUCAAUAAUCAUACUCAAUAGGUAUCUGCGCUCACUAGGGCUGUGCAGACUCCGAAGGGGCUCCUUCAGUCCAAGCGCUAUAUCGCUAUGGUGUGCAGCCCGACCCAAUAUAUAAAUAACCAUAAGGCUCGUUGCGGCAUGCAACCUGAUCCAAUAUAAAUAAUCAGCCCGAAGGCUCGUUGCGGCGUGCAACCCGAUCCAAUAUAUACAUAUAUAGCCCUGAGGCUCGUUGCCGCGUGCAACCCGAUCCAUAUACACUCAUAUAGCUCAUAGCUCGACACCCAGGCCCUAUCUCAGUCACUAACCUCACCAGUCCCUCGAGCUCUCAAAAAGCAUAGAAUUCAGCCCAAACAGAGAUAAUAACAUGUAUCAAUGAUAAAUAGGAGGGGACGGAGGUAAAAUACGCAAGUAAUAUCAUGACUGAGAACAAAAUAACAAAUAGCAGUUAAUUCAGCAAGUCCUCGCGGGUCUCAAUAGUGAUAUCACAAGGCCUAAAUAGGAUUUCUAACAUGAAAUGCAGUCAAUUUCUAUAAAAAUAGAGGGGACAGGUAUUAAACAGUAGGCUAAUCGAUUCUACAGUUUCACAGGACGGACCAAGUCACAAUCCCUCGGUGCACGCCUACACGCCUGUCACCUAGCAUGUGCGUCACCUCCAAAAUAGUCAUACAACAUGAUGUUCGGGGUUUCAUAGCCUAAUGACUAGAUUUAUAAUCGUUACUUACCUCAAUCCCAGAAUAAUCCUACUCCGCGAUGCCUUUGCCUCUCGAAUCAGCCUCCAAACGUCCCGAAUCUAGCCAAAAGCAACACAACAUAAUCAAUAUAUGCCAAAGGAACCAAUUCCACAAGAAAACUACUAAAUUGGGCUCAAAUCCCAAAAUUGACUCAAACCCGCUCCCGGGACCACGUCUUGAAAUCCGACAAAAGUCCCAAAACUAUAAAUUCCAUUCACUCACGAUUCUAACCAUACCAAUUUCAUUAAAAUCCAACAUCAUUUGGUCCCUCAAAUCUCCAAAUUAUUCUCUUCAAAAUCCCAAGCACUAAUCCCUUAUUUCACUUCAUAAAUCCUACUAAUUAGGUGAGAAAUCAAUGAAAAAACACCAUAGCUAAUGAUAAUAGAGCUCAAGCAACUUACCGCAAUAAAUAUCCUUGAAUUCCCUUAAAAAUCCUCCUAAAAACUCCAAAGUCCAUGUUCAAAAUGGUGGAAAUAAGCAAAAAUUCAUGAAGUCUUCUAUUUAUAGGUUCUGCCCAGGCUUUCCGCACCUGUGGCUCAAUAUGUGCACCCGUGGUGCCGUUUUUGCAAAAAAAUCUCCGCAUCUGCGGAAAAUCACUUAAAAUCCCUGGACCGCUUCUGCGCCUCUAGACCGCAUCUGCGAUCAUCGCAGGUGCAGAAUUGACAUUGCACCUGUGGACCAACACACGCACCUACACCCUCUCUUCCGCUUCUGCAACCAUCGCAGGUGCGGGAACUUAAUCCCACAUGCGCGUUCUGCCUAGAUCCUCCAAUCUCGCAUCUGUGAUCCUUUGCUCGCUUCUGCGGGCUCGCACCUACGAUGAGACAUCCGCAGGUGCAAUUAUGACAGUUGAGUUCCAACUUUAGCAAUUCUCCAAACUUCAAACUUGAUCCGUUAACCACCAAAAACACAUCCUAGACCCUCGGGACCUCAACCAAACAUACCAACUGUCACACCUCUUUUUUACUAUAUACCCGAAGGGUGUAAGGGAGUUUUUUCAAUUAAAGGACAAUCGAAACGGGAUUUAUUUCAAUUAAAAUUCAGAGUCGCCACUUGGGAUAAUUUUAUGGUGUCCCAAGUCACCGGUUUCAAAUCCCGAAUCGAGGAAAGAUUGACUCUGUUUUACAGUCCGCGAACAUAGAAAUUCGGGUAAGGAAUUCUGUUAACCCGGGAGAAGGUGUUAGGCAUUCCCGAGUUCCGUGGUUCUAGCACGGUCGCUCAACUGUCAUAUUUGGCCUAUUAUCUGAUUUUAAAAUAUUUUUGAACCCGUGUGCAUUUUUUAACUUUGAAACCGCUUUUAUUUAUUUUUAAAGUAGAUUUAACGUCGUCUAAAACAUGUCUUUGGAUCGUGCCACAUGAAAUGCACCCGCAAUCCGAAACAGGUUUUAUUCAACAUUAUUAAGAUUUGGAUUUGGGUCACAUGAAAUGCACACCCGAGUUUAGGAAGGUAAUAUUAUUAAAAUAAUGCGCUUAAAGCAACUACGCGUUUGCCACUUUGUGAGGGCCACGAAAAUUCAACUACGUGGCACGCCUCGAAUUCUAAGGAUCAAAACAAGAUUAAUUAAAUGAGGGCCAUGAAAUUGAGAUUUUAUUUGGCAUGGCACGCCUUAACUUAUUCAAAAAAAAAUUCUCAAGACAAAGGUGUUGCUCAAUUUCAACUCCAAGGAACCUUUCAUUUGCAAAAUUAAUUUGUUGUUCCAGGUGUUGCUAUCACAAUUUUUCAUACCUGGAACCAACUUCACAUUUAAAGCACGUACAAAAUGCAGCAAUCAAAGGCAUUGCUAAAUUACUGGAGAUAUCUACAACCUAUCAAAUAGUUACUAAUUUUGAGAUCCUCCAACGUUGGGCCUAUUUCAGGAAGUAUAUUUAACCCCUUUAUCUUUUAAACACAUUAAUAAUCAAGGCUAAACACAUUAACAACCAAGGUCCAGUAAUGUUGACAAGUUUCAACCUAAGUUAAUUCAUAAACAGUUCACUAUCCCCUUCGAUUCUUAAUUCCAACCUCUACAAACUAGUUAAGCUCAAACAAAAGCCAAUCCAGUGAGAUAAAACUUGCCUGCUUUGAUAUUCCAUGCGUUCAUGCUUGUCUCUCUUUUUACUUGUUUAUAUACCAACAGCGUGCGAGUCUCAAAUGAACUCAGGUGUGCAAUAACAAGAAAAUUUGGCUCAUGUGUAAUAAAGACUGCCCUACAAAUCCGGUAAUGGCCUACUCGCUUUUUGUAUCUUACACGGCCCAAAUGUCUUAAUCAAAUUCACAAAUGUAAUCAAAUGGACCAAUCAAAUUUUAUUUUUAGUUUAAUAUGCCUUCUGCUCUUAAUGAUCCAGCGAUCAAGUGGUGAACUACUGGGCUCCAAGGACAAGCCCAAAUACUCACUUUUGUAAAUGAUUUUAGGCCCCAAAGCUCAAUGAGCCCAAACCCUGUAAGGACGAGACUAAGGACCCAGACUCGACAUCGAGUCCUUACCACAGCAAGCGGCCCUUUUAUGCUUAAUCUUCAACCAAUAGCUCUUUUCUAAUAUUAGCAUUAACCAAUCGAAAAAUAAUAAGUAAGCUCAUGCCUUAUCCCACAAUGACUGGAGCAUACAGAGAUUUCAAAUUCAUGCUCAACUUCAACUAUUCUAAUUUGGUGAUCGACAAAACAUUUGUAUAGUCAAGCACAUCUUGGUAUACAAAAUCAACCAACUCUUUUAACAAUAAUAAAGACUGAAGUAAAACAAAUGGAAACCAGCAAGUAUAGAAUAACAAUCCAGUUACAUUUUUGACAUGAAUCUCAUUGUGUGCAACAUAGCUUUACUUUAAACAUGCUGAGCCAGAAAUUCUUUUCAACAAGUCAAAUGGGGAAGGGAACAAAGAGAGAGACAUAUAACAAAACAAAUAUCUUCAUUAUCUCCUCAAAACAUCACAUGAAUCAACCUUUACAUUUUAAGAUCGAGGUAUGUACCUGAAUGUAAGAAGGAAGCAAAAGAAGUGAGGCUUCAGUAACAAAACAGCAGCAGCAAAACAAUACUAGCAGAACCACUUUCAAACCAUAAAAUGAUAUGCAGCAGUCCAGAAAAAGUUUUAAUCAAAUAGUAAAUACCACAACUUCAAAUCAAACUUCUACAAACCCAAGUUCAGUCCAUUUUUAAUCCCAGAUGAUUCAAAAAUGGAUUCAGAAGUUGAAAAACCUUAAAGAAUUCAGAAGAGAAUUUAAUGGAAUAGAAAACCAACACAAAGCUUGAACUAUUUUUCAGAAAGAGUUGGUUUCAAUGUAUUUCAAGUCCCAGAAUAAGAAACUAUGAUUUCAUAAGUUUCCUUCGCCAAAUGAAAGCAGAAUACUCCUAAAUGAGCAGAGUUUGAGUAGUUUUAAAACAAAUAAUGUAAUGAAUUCAGAAUUUUCCAAAGGUAUUCAUCUAUUUUGUUUCCUCUCUAUUUUCUUAUCUCUUUCAAACUCUAUCUUUUCAGUAUUUUUUCAGAGUAUUCUUGUAUAUCUUUUUUGACUCUCUUGUGUAUCUAUGUCUGUUUUUUAUGUCCCUCCCUAUCUAUCUAUGAAUUCCUUAAAUAGGCA
This 5082-nucleotide long non-coding RNA is filed under the name Nicotiana tabacum (common tobacco). RNAcentral describes it as "long non-coding RNA (NTAB_LNC009289)". Lineage: Eukaryota; Viridiplantae; Streptophyta; Magnoliopsida; Solanales; Solanaceae. The record is from RNAcentral.